CAUCAUUUUUUCCCUUCUCCAUUGUAGUCCAAGUUCCAAAGAUAGCAUUAAUAAUUUUUCACUUUACCUGCAACAAUAUUGAAAUAGCACUACCGCCCCUUGAAAUUUGUAAAUAUUGCUAUAUCAGUGCAAAACAACCAAAUAGAAUUCUCAUUACUGCGCUAUCCGCAGUUCCUUGGGCGCCAACUUUGCGAGCGAGAAUAUACGAGCUAUCGAAAUUUCAUUUUGAGGUCCGGACGUUUCAGUUGCUUCCGUCUCCUUCUUCACACUCUGGGCAGAGCCCUCUACCGUAUUCUCGCCUAUCGUGACUCGAACAAGCCUUAAGUAACAUAUAUUCAAAUGGAAAGCAAAGGAGCUGAAGUUACGAGGAAACGCUUUAAACCAGCUGUGGAAGAGAAUGAAGGAGGUAGGAAGUUUGUAGAAAAGGUUGAAUUUGCGACGGAAAUUGCAAGAUCUGAGGAGAUGGAUCUUAAUCACAUCCUUGAAAAGAUUGAAAACUUCACUGAGCUGGUAUCUGAACUGCUGGAAUCAGGGAAGGCAAUGUUGAAGCAGCUGAGUAAUGAAUUUGAAGAGCGGAUGAUCAUGAUACAUAAAGAACAAAUUGAGAAAUGGCAGGAAGAAAUCAAAGAACUGAAAUUGCUUGAUGCCUCAAAUGUCCAGUCCCAUGCUGUUCUGCAUGAUGCUCGAUGUUUACUCCAGAAUGCUCAUAUUGAUUAUUGAAGGUAUCAUAUAUCAGACUGUGCCUAAUUAGGAAUCCAAAUGAGGCCAAGCCUGGCCAAGUUUGUCUGAGCUGGCGGAUUUCCUAAGCCAUCGAGGAUCGAUAAAUUCCAAUCCGCCAAUGUCAAACAUGUUAGGACUGUAUGUUGACUGAUUUCAAGCUAUAAGUAACCUGUAGCGUGUUGAGCAUUUUGUUUUUGAUCAUUUGCCGCUCUGACUAGUACUCAUAAACCUCUUCACCAAUCUAGAUUACAAGAUUUAUAUCAAGAAAAAACCAUGUUGUCUAGUUUCUUUUAUGGAAAGUGAGUGGUUAACCAAUAUUUUAUCGGUCUAAUAAGAUGGACAAGUGCAUCUGUUACUGACACGUACACAUCUGCAGAGAGUAGAAAUCUCUAUCAUUGAUAUUCCCUGUACUUUGGAUCCUCUCUGUGAUUUCUUAUAAAGUACGCAUCUCUCGGCUCACAGAGGGCACCAAGUUAAUUGCAUUGCCUAGUAUUUUACUUAUUUUGAGUUUUUUGGACUGGACCAAGUAUAUAAUAAUUGAUUACCAUUUUUACAGA
RNA transcript from Ziziphus jujuba (common jujube), 1277 nucleotides. RefSeq lists it as uncharacterized. Lineage: Eukaryota; Viridiplantae; Streptophyta; Magnoliopsida; Rosales; Rhamnaceae. The record is from RefSeq and is a predicted model, not a curated record. The transcript has 8 exons.